CGUGUAGGCGGCCUUGUAAGUCUGGUGUGAAAGCCCGGGGCUCACCCCCGGAAGUGCACUGGAUACUGCAAGGCUUGAGUACCGGAGAGGAAAGUGGAAUUCCUGGUGUAGCGGUGAAAUGCGUAGAUAUCAGGAGGAACACCGGUGGCGAAGGCGGCUUUCUGGACGGAUACUGACGCUGAGACGCGAAAGCGUGGGGAAGCAAACAG
RNAcentral lists this ribosomal RNA (209 nucleotides) under uncultured bacterium. RNAcentral describes it as "partial 16S ribosomal RNA". It matches the Rfam family "Bacterial small subunit ribosomal RNA", at positions 568 to 775 of the family's 1533-position model. The record is from RNAcentral.